CACGUAGGGGCCAAGCGUUGUCCGGAUUCAUUGGGCGUAAAGAGCUCGUAGGCGGUUCAGUCAGUCGGGUGUGAAAUCUCCGGGCUCAACCCGGAGGGGCCACCCGAUACUGCUGUGACUCGAGUCCGGUAGGGGAGUGGGGAAUUCCUGGUGUAGCGGUGAAAUGCGCAGAUAUCAGGAGGAACACCGGUGGCGAAGGCGGCAUCCUGGACCGGCAUUGACGCUGAGGAGCGAAAGCCAGGGGAGCAAACGGG
RNAcentral lists this ribosomal RNA (254 nucleotides) under uncultured bacterium. RNAcentral describes it as "partial 16S ribosomal RNA". It matches the Rfam family "Bacterial small subunit ribosomal RNA", at positions 524 to 776 of the family's 1533-position model. The record is from RNAcentral.